Lates calcarifer (barramundi perch) is the source of this 602-nucleotide long non-coding RNA. RefSeq lists it as uncharacterized. NCBI's taxonomy places the organism in Eukaryota, Metazoa, Chordata, Actinopteri, Centropomidae. The record is from RefSeq and is a predicted model, not a curated record. The transcript has 2 exons.
CCUGAUUUUUCAGAUAUGAUCCUGUUAAGUUGGAUAAAAGUCCCACUGUGAGUUAACUCAACUGGUCUUGGUUGAGUCCUGUUGUUUACUGAGCAGGGCCUCCAGUAGACGGAGCUUUGCUUUGAGGUUCUUAUACUGGCAGUACUCCUCCGCCAUUGGUCCACGGUCCUCUUUCUGACAAGCCCUGUUAAAAAUACACGGAGGAAAGAAGAUGCAAAACAAAAGGCAAAACUUUUUUUGUAGUUUCCAAACAACCUGCAGCAGCUUCCAUAACUGGUUGAUAGUCCCUAUGUUGCCUUACUCAGAUAGCUUUGUACAGUGUGUAUUGUAAUCAAAAACUUACUGGAUUUACUUUGGAGGACUAACAUGUACAUGUACAGUACAAAGGAUGUGCACAGUUCAGAGCAAACGUCUUCUAUCUCUUCGUCUCUUUCCUGAGCUCUCUGUGCUGUAUUAACGUUACGUGAGUGUGCAUUACACUGUCGUACCAUUACGAUGGGAUUUCUUUUGUGGAUGUUUUUUCUUUGUUUUUCACAAGGCAUUGUUGAAAACCACAUGUUCCAAGUUUAUUAAAAGACAAAAUAAAAUUCAAAAAUCAAGUA